UACAUAGGGUGCGAGCGUUGUCCGGAAUCACUGGGCGUAAAGGGCGCGUAGGCGGCUUGGCAAGUAGGCGGUGAAAUCUUGCGGCUCAACUGCAAGGCUGCCUCCUAAACUGUCAGGCUUGAGCACAGUAGAGGCAGGUGGAAUUCCCGGUGUAGCGGUGGAAUGCGUAGAGAUCGGGAAGAACAUCGAUGGCGAAGGCGGCCUGCUGGGCUGUUGCUGACGCUGAGGCGCGACAGCGUGGGGAGCAAACAGG
This 253-nucleotide ribosomal RNA is filed under the name uncultured bacterium. Its description in RNAcentral is "partial 16S ribosomal RNA". It matches the Rfam family "Bacterial small subunit ribosomal RNA", at positions 524 to 776 of the family's 1533-position model. The record is from RNAcentral.